UACAGAGGUCUCGAGCGUUGUUCGGAUUCAUUGGGCGUAAAGGGCGCGUAGGCUGCGGGGCAAGUCGGGUGUGAAAUCUCAGAGCUCAACUCUGAAACUGCACUCGAUACUGCUUUGCUUGAGGACUGGAGAGGAGAUUGGAAUUCACGGUGUAGCAGUGAAAUGCGUAGAUAUCGUGAGGAAGACCAGUGGCGAAGGCGGAUCUCUGGACAGUUCCUGACGCUGAGGCACGAAGGUCAGGGGAGCAAACGGG
Molecule: ribosomal RNA, 253 nt
Filed under: uncultured bacterium
Lineage: Bacteria
Description: partial 16S ribosomal RNA
Rfam family: Bacterial small subunit ribosomal RNA
Source: RNAcentral